RNAcentral lists this ribosomal RNA (256 nucleotides) under uncultured bacterium. RNAcentral's name for it is "partial 16S ribosomal RNA". It matches the Rfam family "Bacterial small subunit ribosomal RNA", at positions 524 to 776 of the family's 1533-position model. The record is from RNAcentral.
UACGUAGGGUGCGAGCGUUGUCCGGAAUUACUGGGCGUAAAGGAGCUUGUAGGCGGUUCGUCGCGUCGAUCGUGAAAACGUGACAGCUCAACUGCACGCUUGCGGUCGAUACGGGCGGACUAGAGUACUGCAGGGGAGACUGGAAUUCCUGGUGUAGCGGUGAAAUGCGCAGAUAUCAGGAGGAACACCGGUGGCGAAGGCGGGUCUCUGGGCCACUACUGACGCUGAGAAGCGAAAGCAGUGGGGAGCGAACAGG